GAUGAACGCUGGCGGCGUGCUUAACACAUGCAAGUCGAACGGAAAGGCUCCUGCUUGCAGGGGUACUCGAGUGGCGAACGGGUGAGUAACACGUGGGUGAUCUGCCCUGCACUUCGGGAUAAGCUUGGGAAACUGGGUCUAAUACCGGAUAGGACCGCAUUUUGGAUGGUGUGGUGGAAAGUUUUUUCGGUGUGGGAUGAGCUCGCGGCCUAUCAGCUUGUUGGUGGGGUAAUAGCCUACCAAGGCGUCGACGGGUAGCCGGCCUGAGAGGGUGUACGGCCACAUUGGGACUGAGAUACGGCCCAGACUCCUACGGGAGGCAGCAGUGGGGAAUAUUGCACAAUGGGCGCAAGCCUGAUGCAGCGACGCCGCGUGGGGGAUGACGGCCUUCGGGUUGUAAACUCCUUUCGCUAGGGACGAAGAGUAAUUGACGGUACCUGGAGAAGAAGCACCGGCUAACUACGUG
Molecule: ribosomal RNA, 466 nt
Filed under: uncultured bacterium
Lineage: Bacteria
Description: partial 16S ribosomal RNA
Rfam family: Bacterial small subunit ribosomal RNA
Source: RNAcentral